AUACGUAGGGGGCGAGCGUUGUCCGGAUUUACUGGGCGUAAAGGGUGAGUAGGCGGUUAUAUGUGUCAGAUGUAAAAGGCUAUGGCUUAACCAUAGUUAGCAUUUGAAACUGUAUGACUUGAGUGCAGGAGAGGUAAGUGGAAUUCCUAGUGUAGCGGUGAAAUGCGUAGAUAUUAGGAGGAACACCAGUGGCGAAGGCGACUUACUGGACUGUAACUGACGCUGAGUCACGAAAGCGUGGGUAGCAAACAGGAUUAGAUACCCUGGUAGUCCACGCUGUAAACGAUGAGUGCUAGGUGUUGGCCAGCGAUGGUCAGUGCCGCAGUAAACACAUUAAGCACUCCGCCUGGGGAGUACGGUCGACCCUCGGUAC
RNAcentral lists this ribosomal RNA (373 nucleotides) under uncultured bacterium. Its description in RNAcentral is "partial 16S ribosomal RNA". It matches the Rfam family "Bacterial small subunit ribosomal RNA", at positions 523 to 900 of the family's 1533-position model. The record is from RNAcentral.